This 1371-nucleotide ribosomal RNA is filed under the name uncultured bacterium. Its description in RNAcentral is "bacterial SSU rRNA". It matches the Rfam family "Bacterial small subunit ribosomal RNA", at positions 28 to 1381 of the family's 1533-position model. The record is from RNAcentral.
GACGAAACGCUGGCGGCGUGCCUAAUACAUGCAAGUAGAACGCUGAAGAGAGGAGCUUGCUCUUCUUGGAUGAGUUUGCGAACGGGUGAGUAACGCGUAGGUAACCUGCCUUGUAGCGGGGGAUAACUAUUGGAAACGAUAGCUAAUACCGCAUAACAAUGGAUGACACAUGUCAUUUAUUUGAAAGGGGCAAUUGCUCCACUACAAGAUGGACCUGCGUUGUAUUAGCUAGUAGGUGAGGUAACGGCUCACCUAGGCGACGAUACAUAGCCGACCUGAGAGGGUGAUCGGCCACACUGGGACUGAGACACGGCCCAGACUCCUACGGGAGGCAGCAGUAGGGAAUCUUCGGCAAUGGGGGCAACCCUGACCGAGCAACGCCGCGUGAGUGAAGAAGGUUUUCGGAUCGUAAAGCUCUGUUGUAAGUCAAGAACGAGUGUGAGAGUGGAAAGUUCACACUGUGACGGUAGCUUACCAGAAAGGGACGGCUAACUACGUGCCAGCAGCCGCGGUAAUACGUAGGUCCCGAGCGUUGUCCGGAUUUAUUGGGCGUAAAGCGAGCGCAGGCGGUUUGAUAAGUCUGAAGUUAAAGGCUGUGGCUCAACCAUAGUUCGCUUUGGAAACUGUCAAACUUGAGUGCAGAAGGGGAGAGUGGAAUUCCAUGUGUAGCGGUGAAAUGCGUAGAUAUAUGGAGGAACACCGGUGGCGAAAGCGGCUCUCUGGUCUGUAACUGACGCUGAGGCUCGAAAGCGUGGGGAGCGAACAGGAUUAGAUACCCUGGUAGUCCACGCCGUAAACGAUGAGUGCUAGGUGUUGGAUCCUUUCCGGGAUUCAGUGCCGCAGCUAACGCAUUAAGCACUCCGCCUGGGGAGUACGACCGCAAGGUUGAAACUCAAAGGAAUUGACGGGGGCCCGCACAAGCGGUGGAGCAUGUGGUUUAAUUCGAAGCAACGCGAAGAACCUUACCAGGUCUUGACAUCCCGAUGCUAUUUCUAGAGAUAGAAAGUUACUUCGGUACAUCGGUGACAGGUGGUGCAUGGUUGUCGUCAGCUCGUGUCGUGAGAUGUUGGGUUAAGUCCCGCAACGAGCGCAACCCCUAUUGUUAGUUGCCAUCAUUCAGUUGGGCACUCUAGCGAGACUGCCGGUAAUAAACCGGAGGAAGGUGGGGAUGACGUCAAAUCAUCAUGCCCCUUAUGACCUGGGCUACACACGUGCUACAAUGGUUGGUACAACGAGUUGCGAGUCGGUGACGGCAAGCUAAUCUCUUAAAGCCAAUCUCAGUUCGGAUUGUAGGCUGCAACUCGCCUACAUGAAGUCGGAAUCGCUAGUAAUCGCGGAUCAGCACGCCGCGGUGAAUACGUUCCCGGGCCU